GUGCCAGCCGCCGCGGUAAGACGGAGGGUGCAAGCGUUGCUCGGAAUCACUGGGCGUAAAGGGUGCGUAGGCGGCUUGGUCAGUCUGAUGUGAAAGCCCAGGGCCCAGCCUUGGAAGUGCAUUAGAAACUGCCAAGCUAGAGUGCCGGAGGGGAGAGUGGAAUUCCUGGUGUAGCGGUGAAAUGCGUAGAUAUCAGGAGGAAUACCGGUGGCGAAAGCGACUCUCUGGACGGUAACUGACGCUGAGGCACGAAAGCGUGGGGAGCAAACAGGAUUAGAUACCCUGGUAGUCCACGCCGUAAACGAUGGACACUAGGUGUCGGGGGUAUCCACUCCCUCGGUGCCGCCGUUAACGCAGUAAGUGUCCCGCCUGGGAAGUACGGCCGCAAGGUUAAA
RNAcentral lists this ribosomal RNA (395 nucleotides) under uncultured bacterium. RNAcentral's name for it is "bacterial SSU rRNA". It matches the Rfam family "Bacterial small subunit ribosomal RNA", at positions 505 to 898 of the family's 1533-position model. The record is from RNAcentral.